UCCUCCGUGGCGCAAUUGGCUAGCGCGUCUGACUGUUAAAUUCCUUAGCAAUCAGGAGGUUGAAAGUUCGAGCCUUUCCGGGGGAG
Molecule: transfer RNA, 86 nt
Filed under: Parastagonospora nodorum SN15
Lineage: Eukaryota; Fungi; Ascomycota; Dothideomycetes; Pleosporales; Phaeosphaeriaceae
Description: Phaeosphaeria nodorum SN15 tRNA-Asn for anticodon GUU
Rfam family: tRNA
About the family: Transfer RNA (tRNA) molecules are approximately 80 nucleotides in length. Their secondary structure includes four short double-helical elements and three loops (D, anti-codon, and T loops).
Source: Rfam by way of RNAcentral